RNAcentral lists this ribosomal RNA (505 nucleotides) under uncultured bacterium. RNAcentral's name for it is "partial 16S ribosomal RNA". It matches the Rfam family "Bacterial small subunit ribosomal RNA", at positions 28 to 507 of the family's 1533-position model. The record is from RNAcentral.
GACGGACGCUGGCGGCGUGCCUAAUACAUGCAAGUAGAACGCACAGUUUAUACCGUAGCUUGCUACACCAUAGACUGUGAGUUGCGAACGGGUGAGUAACGCGUAGGUAACCUGCCUGGUAGCGGGGGAUAACUAUUGGAAACGAUAGCUAAUACCGCAUAAUAUUAAUUAUUGCAUGAUAAUUAAUUGAAAGGUGCAAUUGCACCACUACCAGAUGGACCUGCGUUGUAUUAGCUAGUAGGUGAGGUAACGGCUCACCUAGGCGACGAUACAUAGCCGACCUGAGAGGGUGAUCGGCCACACUGGGACUGAGACACGGCCCAGACUCCUACGGGAGGCAGCAGUAGGGAAUCUUCGGCAAUGGAUGAAAGUCUGACCGAGCAACGCCGCGUGAGUGAAGAAGGUUUUCGGAUCGUAAAGCUCUGUUGUAAGAGAAGAACGGGUGUGAGAGUGGAAAGUUCACACUGUGACGGUAUCUUACCAGAAAGGGACGGCUAACUACGUG